Molecule: long non-coding RNA, 222 nt
Filed under: Elaeis guineensis (African oil palm)
Lineage: Eukaryota; Viridiplantae; Streptophyta; Magnoliopsida; Arecales; Arecaceae
Description: long non-coding RNA (EGUI_LNC047150)
Source: RNAcentral
GGGUGAUUCUGGCUUGGUCAAAGAUCUAGGGUUGGUCUCAUUAAUUUUACUCGUGUGUUCAAUGACCUUCCCACUUCUGAGAGUCAUGAUUGAUUUGGCAUGUUUAGAAAAGGUUUCUGGGGCAUUGGAGCUCUCAACCAUGAAUUGCCCUCUCGGGUUGCUCUCAGGUUGGCUAGGUAAUUUUUCUCCUUCCCUCUUACUGAAUACAGUUGCUAGUUGACC